This 416-nucleotide long non-coding RNA is filed under the name Piliocolobus tephrosceles (Ugandan red Colobus). Its description in RNAcentral is "lncRNA (ENSPTEG00000009191.1)". Lineage: Eukaryota; Metazoa; Chordata; Mammalia; Primates; Cercopithecidae. The record is from RNAcentral.
CAUCCACUCAAUCCGUAAGUCACUAUUAUCUCUUUUAUAGGACCUGUGACAGAUUCCAGAAAAGGUCUCCCUACAAGAGGCUGCUGUCCUCCCUAUAACUUGUGGCACUGCAAUUUUUGCUCUUGAGCAUCGGGCCCAUUCCCAGCCCGGGUUUCGGAAGUAGCAUUCAUCUUUCGUUGGCACAGAGAAAUUGUUUUAGUGAUGGCAGCGGCUGGAGCACAGGCCUUGCGGUGAUGUGACAACAAAUGUUCUUCAGGCCAAGGUAAUAUAGCUGCUGCUGGAAGCGACGAGAAGUGCAAGGUGGCGGUGCAGAGGGGUGCGCAGUCCAGCGUUAACUACAGUUAGGGCAGCCUGAAGGAGGCAGUGAGGAAGCUGGUGGGCUAGGGUGGGGUGAAUGUGGCCAUCGACAUGGUGGG